Prosopis cineraria is the source of this 4221-nucleotide RNA transcript. It is a transcript of the gene named protein QUIRKY-like, with no coding region annotated. The record is from RefSeq and is a predicted model, not a curated record. Lineage: Eukaryota; Viridiplantae; Streptophyta; Magnoliopsida; Fabales; Fabaceae. The transcript has 4 exons.
UCUCACUCUUACUCUCUCUCUUUCUCUGCUUAGCUCUCUCGACGGCCACCGUUAUUGGCUGCACUUUCAUGCUUACCGGAAGCAGAACCCGAUGCCGAUAACAAAAUGAGAACAUGACGAUGCCGAUUCAGCCACCACCGCAUGUUCCGAGGAUUGCCAGAAAGCUGAUCGUCGAAGUAGUGGAUGCACGCAAUCUCCUUCCAAAGGAUGGCCAGGGAAGCUCUAGCCCUUACGUUGUCGCUGACUUUGAUGGACAGAGGAAAAGGACCAGUUCCAGGUACAGGGAGCUUAACCCGGUUUGGAACGAGGAUCUUGAGUUCAUUGUAUCUGACCCCGAUAACAUGGAAUCCGAAGAGCUAGAGAUUGAGGUCUACAACGACAAGAAGUUCGGAAAUGGGAGUGGCCGGAAAAAUCAUUUCCUGGGCAGGGUUAAGCUCAACGGUACUCAAUUCUCCAGGAGAGGGGAUGAAGGUCUGGUGUACUAUACGUUGGAGAAGAAGAGCGUCUUUAGUUGGAUUAGGGGCGAAAUAGGCCUUAAGAUUUAUUACUAUGAUGAGAUGAUGGAGGAAGAAGGUCCCCCUCAGCAGCAAGAGCAGGAGCCACAGCAGCAAGUUGCAGAGCAUGAGAGGACGAAAUCUCCGGCCGUAGCAGUCGUAGAGGAGGGAAGAGUGUUUGAGGUUCCAGGCACGCAGGAACAUUGCGUGCCUGAAGUCCCUCAUUCACCGCACGUUGUGAUUGUUGAAGAAUCACCACCGCCGGUGGUCCAUGUACCGCCGGACCAACCAAUGCCAGAUAUGGCAGGACCGCCACCACCUAUAUCUGAAAUACCACCUCCAGAGGCCCGAAGAAUGCAAUCAGGAGGAAUACCGGGAGUGGAGAGAGUUACGAUUUUGAAGAGGCCCUAUGGGGAUUACUCUCCGAAAGUGAUAUCCAAAAAGUCCACCAAUGUCGAUUCUGAGAGGGUUCACCCCUUUGAGUUGGUGGAACCGAUGCAAUACCUAUUUGUCCGAAUAGUCAAGGCUCGUGGGUUGGCACCAAAUGAGAGUCCCUACGUGAAGAUUCGAGGGUCUUCGGGCCCCUUGCUCCGAUCAAAGCCUGCACGAUACCGUUCAAAUGAGCCCAAUGACUCUCCAGAGUGGAACCAAGUUUUCGCCCUCGGACACAAGGCUGACACACCAAGCGUGACACUAGAGAUCUCGGUUUGGGAUUCUCCAAACGAGCAAUUUUUGGGUGGUGUUUGCUUUGAUCUCUCUGACGUGCCUGUACGAGACCCUCCUGAUAGUCCCUUGGCCCCGCAAUGGUAUCGCCUCGAAGGUGGUGCCAUUGAACAAAAUUCAGGUAAAGUUUUUGGUGAUAUUCAACUUUCUGUCUGGAUUGGUACACAAGCAGAUGAUGCAUUCCCGGAGGCAUGGAGCUCCGACGUUCCCGACGUGGCAUACACACGCUCUAAAGUAUACCAGUCACCAAAGCUUUGGUACUUACGUGUGAACAUCAUUGAAGCUCAAGACCUUAACAUCCCUCCAAAUCUCCCCCCAUUAACGGCGCCGGAGAUUCGAAUAAAAGUACAAUUAGGAUUUCAAAGCCAACGAACAAGGCGAGGAUGCAUGAAUAACCAUAGCCUAUCCAUCCAUUGGAAUGAAGACCUGCUUUUUGUGGCCGGUGAGCCUUUGGAAGAAGAUCCCAUGAUUUUGCUCGUAGAAGAUCGUACGACCAAAGAAGCCGUAACACUGGGACACAUCGUAAUCCCACUGACCUCCAUUGAGCAACGAAUCGACGAGCGCCAUGUAACAUCAAAAUGGUUUCCCCUAGAAGGUUUCACAGGGGUUGGCCCCUACAGUGGACGUGUCCACCUGAGACUAUGCUUAGAAGGUGGCUAUCACGUGCUGGAUGAAGCGGCACAUAUAUGCAGUGACUUUCGAGCAACGGCAAAGCAGCUAUGGAAGCCGGCCAUUGGAAUUCUUGAACUAGGCAUCUUAGGGGCUCGCGAUCUCAUUCCCAUGAAACCCAGACCAGGAGGAAAGGGAUCCACUGAUGCUUACUGUGUGGCCAAGUAUGGGAAGAAAUGGGUUCGCACUCGAACCAUUAUAGACAGCUUUGAUCCACGUUGGAACGAGCAGUACACAUGGCAAGUGUAUGACCCUUGUACAGUCUUGACUAUCGGUGUGUUUGACAAUUGGCGAAUGUUUGUGGAUGCGUCAGAAGAUAAACCUGAUAGUCGCAUUGGGAAAGUGCGAAUCCGAGUAUCUACUCUGGAGAGUAAUAAGGUGUAUACAAAUUCAUAUCCUUUGUUGGUGUUAUCUAGAUAUGGGUUGAAGAAAAUUGGUGAGAUUGAACUAGCAGUUCGUUUUGCCUGCCCUUCUUUAUUGCCUGAUACUUGUGCACUUUAUGGGCAGCCAUUAUUUCCUAGAAUGCAUUAUCUUCGUCCACUUGGUUUGGUUCAACAGGAAGCAUUACGUGGAGCCGCCACAAAGAUGGUGGCUCAGUGGCUCUCUAAGGCUGAGCCACCAUUGGGGCAUGAGGUGGUUCGGUAUAUGUUGGACACAGACUCACACACUUGGAGCAUGAGGAAGAGCAAGGUCAAUUGGUGUCGGAUCGUGGCGGUUCUGGCAUGGGCCAUCGGGUUGGCGAAAUGGUUGGACGAUAUCAAAAGGUGGAGGAACCCAAUGACGACUGUUCUGGUCCAUGUUUUGUAUUUGGUACUUGUUUGGUAUCCGGAUUUGAUUGUCCCUACUGGGUUCUUAUACGUGGUUUUGAUUGGCAUAUGGUAUUAUCGGUUCAGACCUAAGAUACCAGCUGGAAUGGAUACCCGAUUGUCACAAGCUGAAACUGUUGACCCGGAUGAGUUAGAUGAGGAAUUUGACACAAUGCCUAGUUCAAGGCCACCUGAUAUAAUUCGAGUCCGAUAUGACAGGUUACGCAUGCUGGCUGCUCGGGUCCAAACAGUGUUAGGCCAUUUUGCAGCACAAGGAGAGAGGCUGCAAGCCUUGGUGAGUUGGAGGGAUCCAAGGGCCACAAAGCAAUUCAUUGUAGUGUGCAUGGCCAUUACAGUGAUAAUGUAUGCGGUGCCGCCAAAAAUGGUGGCUGUGGCUUUAGGAUUCUACUACCUGCGACAUCCCAUGUUUAGGGACCCAAUGCCUUCCGCUUCCUUGAACUUUUUCAGGAGACUGCCAAGCUUGUCUGAUCAAUUGAUGUAGAUUGAUUCACACUAUUAAGCGCACUCGUGUUAAAUAUACAAAUCCAAGGCAUUGCAAAGCACAUUUCUCUAUUGGUCAUGUUGAUGCUAGACUGGGUAGAGAAAGACAUCUCUCAACUUGGAAGUUUGGCUUGCUCAAAUGGAGAACUCUUUUUCUUGAAUGCAAAUUAGAUAACGGGUCACACAUGCACAUGUACAGGGGCAAGCAAAGAAAGAAAGAAGAUUAAGGACCAUUAAUUAAUGAUUUAGGAUUGAUGACUAUGAAGUUUAGCAGAGCCAUAUUCUGGUGCACCAUGAACAGAAAUGACCCUUCAUCUUCGUUCAUACAUUCCUCCCAUAUUGGCAUUCAGUGAUCAUAUUAUGGCCAAAUCAUUGAUGAAUUUAUGAUCACACGCAGGAUAAUCACAGAUCAGUGGCCAAGAGUAGAAAUUGUCUAUGGUGAAAUUCAAAACCAUGAAACAAUUUCAUAGCCCCCCCCCCCUUUUUUCUUUCUGUGUCGUCAACCUAAUUUGUAUUACAUAAAUCAACCUAUACAAGACCAGUACAGAGGCCAUUCAUGGAUCCAAACCAGAAAAUGGCUUCUCUAUAAAACUACCAGCAAGCCUAUAGUACGUAUUAUGACUUUGUGACUAAAAAUACAUAAACCAGAUCAGAAAUUUAAUUAUUAAUUUCUCCUCUACAAUAUUAUGAUCUUGUAAUUAAAAAGUAGAAUCCUCCUAUUUUAUUCUUACAAAUUUCAGGAAAAAAAUAUGAAUAAAAAAAAUUUAUACCCAUUCUCACUUCCAGGAAAAAAGAUGCUCGUAUGUUUCAUUAUAUGCUGUGACUUUUCAACUAAUGCGGCACAAAACGGAGUGGCUUGUCCAUAUGAUGGGCAAUACUCUUCGUAGUCAAUUGUACAGACGACCGACUUAUUUGCUUCCCUUACUUGAAACCGUAUACUUUUUAUUUUUAUAGCAUACAGCUUAAAUUAUAGCCUUAUGGGUAUGCUCCUUUCACGAUUGUAAUCAUUAGAUUAUAUUAUAUGGAUC